This 401-nucleotide ribosomal RNA is filed under the name uncultured bacterium. Its description in RNAcentral is "bacterial SSU rRNA". It matches the Rfam family "Bacterial small subunit ribosomal RNA", at positions 356 to 773 of the family's 1533-position model. The record is from RNAcentral.
ACUGAAUCAUUCACAAUGGGCGCAAGCCUGAUGAUGCGACACCGCGUGCAGGAUGAAGGCCUUCGGGUUGUAAACUGCUGUCAAGGUCCAGAAAACAAAUGAUCGGACCUAGAGGAAGCACCGGCUAAAUUCGUGCCAGCAGCCGCGGUAAUACGAAUGGUGCAAGCGUUGUUCGGAAUCACUGGGCGUAAAGGGUGCGUAGGUGGUUUGUUAAGUCAGGUGUGAAAUCCCUCGGCCCAACCGGGGAACUGCAUUUGAUACUGGCAACCUCGAGAGUGCGAGAGGAAAGCGGAAUUCCAGGUGUAGCGGUGGAAUGCGUAGAUAUCUGGGAGAAGGCCGGAGGCGAAGGCGGCUUUCUGGCGCACAUCUGACACUGAGGCACGAAAGCGUGGGGAGCAAAC